UCCAGUUUGACACUGGCAGUCCCCUUAGAGUGCCCAACUUAAUGAUGGCAACAAAGGGAGUGGGUUGCGCUCGUUGCGGGACUUAACCCAACAUCUCACGACACGAGCUGACGACAGCCAUGCAGCACCUGUGUAUCUGUCUCCGAAGAGAAAGCCUUGUUUCCAAGAACGAUCAAAUACAUGUCAAGACCAGGAUAAGGUUCUUCGCGUUGCGUCGAAUUAAACCACAUGCUCCACUGCUUGUGCGGGUCCCCGUCAAUUUCUUUGAGUUUUAAUCUUGCGACCGUACUUCCCAGGCGGGGUGCUUAACGCGUUAGCUCCGUCACUGAAAGGGUUAACACUUCCAACGACAAGCACCCAUCGUUUAGGGCAUGGACUAC
This 380-nucleotide unclassified non-coding RNA is filed under the name uncultured Pseudobdellovibrionaceae bacterium. RNAcentral describes it as "uncultured Bdellovibrionaceae bacterium contains 16S-23S intergenic spacer region". Lineage: Bacteria; Pseudomonadati; Bdellovibrionota; Bdellovibrionia; Bdellovibrionales; Pseudobdellovibrionaceae. The record is from RNAcentral.